Calidris pugnax (ruff) is the source of this 9353-nucleotide RNA transcript. It is a transcript of the gene named SOS Ras/Rac guanine nucleotide exchange factor 1, with no coding region annotated. The record is from RefSeq and is a predicted model, not a curated record. The transcript has 22 exons. Lineage: Eukaryota; Metazoa; Chordata; Aves; Charadriiformes; Scolopacidae.
UGCAGAAAUGCUAUGAUGAUGGGAGAAAAAGAAAAGCCUGUACUUUGGAAAGUUGGGUGCCACCUUUAUAGAAUUGUAUUCUGUCCCAGUUUUUUGUCAGCUUUUGUUUGUGUACCUUGUCCUGUGUACCAGCUCUUUGAUCGUGUUCAAAAAAGUUUUCCCCAUCCUAUUGAUAAGUGGGCAAUAGCUGAUGCCCAGUCUGCUAUUGAGAAGAGGAAAAGAAGAAAUCCGUUAUCUCUCCCAGUAGAAAAAAUCCAUCCCUUAUUAAAGGAAGUCCUAGGCUACAAAAUUGACCACCAAGUAUCUGUUUACAUAGUGGCAGUAUUAGAAUACAUUUCUGCAGACAUCUUAAAAUUGGUUGGGAAUUACGUGCGAAAUAUAAGACAUUAUGAGAUUACAAAACAAGAUAUUAAAGUGGCAAUGUGUGCUGAUAAGGUAUUAAUGGAUAUGUUCCAUCAAGAUGUAGAAGAUUUAAGUGCACUAACUUUAUCUGAUGAGGAACCCUCCACCUCAGGGGAACAAACUUAUUAUGACCUAGUGAAGUCAUUUAUGGCAGAGGUUCGACAAUAUAUAAGGGAACUAAAUCUCAUUAUCAGAGUUUUUAGAGAGCCAUAUGCCUCCAACUCCAAACUAUUUUCAUCUCAUGAUGUAGAAAAUAUAUUUAGUCGUAUAUCAGACAUUCAUGAACUUAGUGUGAAGUUAUUGGGUCAUAUAGAAGACACAGUUGAAAUGACAGAUGAAGGUAGUCCUCAUCCGCUAGUAGGCAGCUGUUUUGAAGACAUGGCAGAGGAGCUAGCAUUUGAUCCAUAUGAAUCAUAUGCACAAGAUAUUUUGCGACCUGGUUUUCAUGAUCAUUUUCUAAGUCAAUUGUCAAAGCCAGGAGCAGCGUUUUAUUUACAGUCAAUAGGUGAAGGCUUUAAAGAAGCUGUUCAGUAUGUUCUACCCCGGCUGCUCCUUGCCCCUGUUUACCACUGUCUUCAUUAUUUUGAACUGCUAAAACAAUUGGAAGAAAAAAGUGAGGAUGAAGAUGAUAAGGAGUGCUUAAAGCAAGCAAUAACUGCCCUGCUAAAUCUUCAAAGCAGUAUGGAACGGAUAUGCUCCAAAAGUCUUGCAAAACGAAGGCUUAGUGAAUCUGCAUGCCGAUUCUAUACUCAGCAGAUGAAGGGGAAACAGCUAGCAAUUAAGAAAAUGAAUGAAAUCCAGAAAAAUAUUGAUGGUUGGGAGGGUAAGGACAUUGGACAAUGCUGUAAUGAGUUCAUCAUGGAAGGAACACUUACACGCGUAGGAGCUAAGCACGAGAGACACAUAUUUCUGUUCGAUGGCUUGAUGAUUUGCUGUAAGUCAAAUCACGGCCAGCCAAGACUUCCUGGUGCUAGCAAUGCAGAAUAUCGUCUAAAAGAAAAGUUCUUCAUGCGAAAGGUACAAAUCAAUGAUAAAGACGACACUAAUGAGUACAGACAUGCUUUUGAAAUCAUCUUAAAAGAUGAGAACAGUGUUAUUUUUGCUGCUAAAUCAGCUGAAGAUAAAAACAACUGGAUGGCAGCAUUGAUAUCUUUGCAAUAUAGAAGCACGCUGGAAAGGAUGUUGGAUGUAACAAUGCUGCAGGAAGAAAAAGAGGAGCAGAUGAGAUUUCCAAAUCCUGAGCUUUAUAGAUUUGCAGAACCCGAUUCGGAAGAGAAUAUUGUGUUUGAAGAAAACAUGCAGCCCAAAUCUGGAAUCCCCAUCAUCAAGGCAGGAACUGUUGUCAAGCUCAUCGAGAGGCUGACUUACCACAUGUAUGCAGAUCCCAACUUUGUUCGGACUUUUCUCACAACAUAUAGAUCCUUCUGUAAACCUCAAGAGUUGCUGAGUCUGCUAAUAGAAAGAUUUGAAAUUCCAGAGCCUGAGCCAACAGAAGCUGAUCGUAUUGCUAUGGAGAACGGAGACCAGCCUCUUAGUGCAGAGUUAAAAAGAUUUAGGAAAGAGUACAUUCAGCCUGUGCAGCUACGAGUAUUAAAUGUGUGUCGACACUGGGUAGAACACCACUUCUAUGACUUUGAAAGAGAUGCUGAUCUUCUGCAACGUUUGGAGGAAUUCAUUGGAACAGUAAGAGGCAAAGCGAUGAAGAAAUGGGUUGAAUCAAUCACAAAGAUAAUCAACCGGAAAAAGCAGGCACAAGCCAUUGGGCCAAGUCACAACAUUACUUUUGAGAGCCCGCCCCCGGCAAUUGAAUGGCACAUAAGCAAACCAGGACACACAGAGACUUUUGACUUGCUCACUUUGCAUCCAAUAGAAAUUGCUCGGCAGCUCACUUUACUUGAGUCAGAUUUUUACAGAGCUGUGCAGCCAUCUGAACUAGUUGGAAGUGUGUGGACAAAGGAAGAUAAAGAAAUUAAUUCUCCCAACCUUCUCAAAAUGAUAAGACAUACAACUAACCUGACUUUGUGGUUUGAAAAAUGCAUUGUAGAAACAGAAAACCUAGAGGAAAGAGUAAUUGUAGUGAGCCGGAUAAUUGAGAUCCUGCAAGUUUUUCAAGAGCUAAACAACUUUAAUGGUGUCCUUGAGAUUGUCAGUGCUAUGAACUCCGCAGCAGUGUAUAGGUUGGAUCACACAUUUGAGCAAAUUCCAAGUCGCCAGAAGAAGAUUUUAGAAGAAGCUUAUGAGCUGAGUGAGGAUCAUUAUAAGAAAUACUUGGCAAAACUCAGGUCCAUUAAUCCUCCUUGUGUGCCUUUUUUUGGGAUUUACUUAACUAACAUUCUGAAAACAGAAGAAGGCAACCCUGAAUUUCUAAAGCGACAUGGGAAAGAACUUAUAAACUUCAGCAAGAGGAGAAAGGUAGCUGAAAUAACAGGAGAGAUACAGCAGUACCAGAACCAGCCUUAUUGUUUGAGGGUGGAAUUUGAUAUCAGGAGAUUUUUUGAAAACCUGAAUCCAAUGGGAAACAGCAUGGAGACAGAAUUUACAGAUUAUCUGUUCAACAAGUCACUAGAGAUAGAGCCACGAAAUGUCAAGCCUCCACCAAGAUUUCCCAAAAAAUACAGCUAUCCUCUCAAGUCUCCAGGUGUUCGUCCCUCUAAUCCAAGACCAGGUACCAUGAGACAUCCUACACCACUGCAACAGGAGCCAAGGAAAAUUAGUUACAGCCGCAUCCCAGAGACUGAAACUGAAACUACAGCAUCUGCACCAAACUCUCCCCGAACACCUUUGACCCCUCCCCCUGCUUCUGCCACUUCGAGUAACACAGAUGCCUGCAGUGUGUUUGACUCUGAUCCUUCAAGUCCAUUUCAUGCAAGAUCUGCUUCUGUGUCUUCCAUAAACUUUACCAAAAAUUCAGAUGAAGCUCAUGUUCCCCCUCCGGUUCCUCCACGAAGAAGACCAGAGUCUGCCCCAGCUGAAUCCUCCCCAUCAAAAAUUACUUCUGCGCACCUGGACAGCCCACCAGCAAUCCCUCCUAGGCAACCAACCUCUAAAGUGUAUUCACCAAGGUACUCAGUACCUGACCGGACCUGCAUCUCUGACCCCCCUGAAAGCCCUCCUGUGUUACCACCACGAGAACCUGUGCGAACUCCAGAUGUUUUCUCUAGCUCACCACUACACCUCCAGCCUCCACCACUGGGGAGAAAAAGCGAACUUGGUAACACCUUUUUCCCAAACAGUCCAUCACCAUUUACUCCCCCUCAGACACCUUCUCCACAUGUAGCACGGAGGCAUCUUCCAUCACCACCUUUGAUACCACAAGAUGUGGACCUCCAUUCUGUUGCUGGACCACCUGUUCCUCCACGACAAAGCACUUCUCAACAUAUCCCAAAGCUUCCUCCAAAAACUUACAAAAGGGAGCACACACACCCAUCGAUGCAUCGAGACGGACCACCAUUGCUGGAGAAUGCCCAUUCCUCCUGAACUAUCCCUUGCGCUGGGAGUCGCGUUUUCCUGGUGCUACGUCUGUUGCUGGCAAUGGAUGCACUGAACCUGGUGGUGCCAAGGAGUUGGGAUGUGUAUGCCAAACACUAAAAACUCUCCAAUGGAUUGGAAAUGCAGUGUACAGAAAUGGGAUUGCAAAAAAAGACGUUCUAGUGGAAAAACCGGUUAACUUGCUAUUCUUGUUUUAGUAUGCAGGACAUUGUUCUAAAGUAGUUGGACAACUGAUUGUACCAGAAAACAGACUUGAGGGACUUCUUUGGCCAAUGAGCAGAGACUGUGUUUGUGUAGUGAUCAAUAAUGUCCAGUACAGGAAAGAAAAGACUCUGGUAUCCAUCGGUUCCUUACAAUGGCACAGUUUAUGGAAUGAAAACAUUAUGCACUUUUUAAAAAUCUCAAACAGGGAAGUUUAUAUCCUCCUUAAUUUUUUCUUUGCUUUACUCCCUGCUUUAAAAUACCUUCCUAAAAUUAUGAGAAGGACUGUGAGGAAGAUCUGUGGUACCUAACUGAGCUAGGAUUAAGGCCAAGCACUGUAUUGCAGUCCUGUUUACAAGUUGUUACAAUGAGUGGUAGGGGGUACCUAGGCUUCACCAAAGAGGUACUUUAUUAUUAUUUUCUGAAAUAUUAUGGUGCCAGUUCAAAAAUAAAUUUUUGCCAGGAAGCAUAAUGUCUAGUUAUUGCUUUCUUUAGAUAGAGGAGAUUAAAGUCUUACAUCAUUAAGAGGACAGCAAGGGUUUUUUUUUAAAAGCAGCACUAUCAUCCGAAGUGAAUAUACUAGUACAUUUAGGAGACUGUUAAUCUCUGCUAGGUUAUGUCACAUUCUUUUUAAGGUUUACUGAUAAUCCAUUUCAUGGCUAGUAGCUAUUCUUUUUCAGUCAUGCCAUGAAAACAGGCACUUGUGAAAAGGAGCACUCACUGGUAAACUUCCAUAGCUAUUGUCAUGUUUUACUAACAGUAGAUUAAUCAGCAUACAUAGAAUUGCCUUGCAGUUGCAUAAAUCAUGUGUAUAUAGUGAAGGUUGCAUAAAUAUACUUGCAGAUUGUUUUUAAUUUAAUUGAAAUAAAGAUACAGAUAUGUUUGGCUGACAUACGUUAAAUUAUUACACAGACAGAUGUACAACUCAGUUUUUCAGUUAAGCACUGAAGGGGAUAAAAGCACAUGUUGUGGUACGUAUUUUUCCUAGUUCAGUGUAUGUAUUUUAAUAAUAAGAGUCUAAAGAUAAAUCGGUUUUGGCAUGUAUUACAAAGUAAUAAUUUAGUAAUACCUGAGAAGCUGGGUUACUCCCAAGGUAAAUUAUUAUAUGUUAUAAAAUUUCUCACACCUGCUGUAUGACACUUGUUAGAAAAAUUCAAACUUGUAUUAACCGUUGCAGUAGCUUUCUGUGUCCAAAAUACACAUGUACUGGUAUAAGUAUCAUGACAUGGAUUAUCCAUAAACCUGUGUACUGCUCUUCAACUCUAGACAAUACUGUGACAGUAAUGCAUGGCAGUUACUGAAGAAACGAAGCUCUAUAAUCUCCAGUGCAGUAUGUAUAUGAAGUGUAAAGUAUCUCAUCUUCAGUUAAUAUGGCUCAUGAAAAAAAGUAAAAUCAUACAACAUUUCCUUUUUGGAAGAAGAAUACAUUUCAGCGCCUUGGAAAGCUGUGUCAUUAGAGGUGGUGUUAGUUGAAUGAUGGUGGAAAUCACCAUUUUUAAUGCUUUUUGCACUGCCAUUGAGCAGUGCCCCUUGGUCCUCUAGUGUGGUCAUUACAUUUCAGAAGGUUCUCUGAUUUCGUGAACAACAGUUUUCAUCAUAGUCAAAUGCUGAAAUUUGUCAGUUCUAUUCCUUCUUUGAUGUCUUUAACAACUUUGUUUUGAAAUAUUUUCCUGGCAAAAGAAGAAAAAGUGAAGAUCUCUAAACCUUGGCUUCAGAAGAGAACACUACAUGGGAGCUUUGUGAAAACCCUGAAGCUACAGGAUGCAUAUUUAGGUUAUCGGUCCUUUGGAUAUAAAUGCCGUGAUAGGCCUACUGUUAGCAAUGUCAUCUAAAUUAUUAGCUCAUCAGCAGAUUACCAGGGAAAACUCCUUAAAUUUAGAAUUUCUGACCUUCUGUACACUAUUUCUAUUUUGCAGUCAAGGCAGACUAGGCAGAAGGAAUGAUCUAGUGGGUAGGUUGCUCAGCUAGAAGGAGAGACCUCACAUGGACCCUGCUAAUCAGUGAUUUCUUGAAUGUCGGUAGGUCUCUGUUUCCCUUUGUGAAAUCGGGAAAGCUGUUUCGCAUCUCUGUGGUUGCGGAUAAAAGUCCUUUACUGGUGAGGUACUUGGACAACAGGUAAUAAUGGUCACCAUGCAAGAACCUAACUUAAACAUGCUUUGGAGCUCAGCAGAAUGGGUUAGUCAUACAGUGCACAAAUCAUGGUGAUGUCUCAGCUGCAAAGAGGAAGGUCAGGAUGAGAAUCAAACCUGUUGCAUUUAGAAGUUUUGAGUAUAACUGCUAAGGCACUGUUUUGUGUAAUGACAUGUUUAUUUGUGUUAAUUAUUUAGUCUGGAAUUACUUCUUAUUUGGACCUUGUUUACAUUAGUGACAAUGCUUCUCACAUAGAAAAUGAAAUCAUUUUAAUGAUGCUGUUUCCUUGGUAAAAUUACGCUGGAUGGUCUGGCGUGGCCUGGGAUGAUGGACAAUGAAACAUGCUUGUUUGGAGGCUGAGUUGCUGUACUACUCUAGAGUGCUGAUGUGAAAGAAAAAAAAAAAAAAUCAGCCUAAACAGCUGCAAACUGCAGUCAACAUUAUAGAGUUCAGCAGAACUUUAUAGGCGAACUUACAGGUGAACAGGUGAACUUUAACAAUUUGUGCUGUUAUACAUCAAGGUUUCUUCUUUAUAUAUAGUCUAGUGCAACAGUGGAACAUAACCUGGGUUUGUUCAUUUUCUUCCAGAGUGUCAUGAUUGUGUGUUAGCUCAGAAAAACCCUCUGGGAAUUUGGAAGGAUUCCAAGUGCAAGAUCCUGCACCUGGAUCGGGGCAACCCCUGGUGUCAAUACAGGCUGGGGAAUGGCGAGCAGGUCUGCCGAGAAGGACUUGGGAGAACUGGUGAACAUGAGCUGGCAAUGUGCACUCACAACCCAGAAAGCCAACCACAUCCUGGGCUGCAUCAAAAGCGGUGUGGCCAGCAGGGAGGAGAUUCACCCCCUCUGCUCUGCCCUGGUGACACCCCAUGUGGAGUACUGCAUGCAGCUCUGGGGCCCCCAACAUAAGAAGGACAUGGACCUGUUGGAGCAGGUCCAGAGGAGGCCACAAAGAUGAUCCGAGGGCUGAGCACCUCUCCUUUGAAGACAGGCAGAGAGUUGGGGGUGUUUAGCCCCAACUGUUUGUUGGAGAAGAGAAGACUCCAGGGAGACCUUAUCGCGGCCCUUCAAUACUUAAAGGGGGCUUAUAAGAAAUAGGGGGACAAACUUUUCCGUAAGGCCUGUUGUGAUAGACCAAGGGGUAACAGUUUUAAACUGAAAGAAGGAAGAUUUAGACUAGAUAAGAAAGAUAUUUUUUACAAUGAGGGUGAUGAGACACUGACCCAGGUUGCCCGAAAAGGUAGUAGAUUCCCGAGCCCCAGAAACAUUCAAGGUCAGGUUGGAUUGGGCUUUGAGGAACCUCAUCUAGUUGAAGAUGUACCUCCUCAUGGCAGGGGGGUUGGACUAUAGAUGGCUUUUAAAGGUCCCUUCCAACCCAAACUAUUCUAUGAUUUUGCAAGUGCCAUGCAUUUAUGUCUGUUCAGCAUGCAGCUUGGAAAGUCAGCUAUUGUGCUGUCAGGUGACCCCAAGGUACAUGCUGUUGUCAUGAUGUUCAGCAGCCCAGGCAAAGUUUUUCAAUAACUGUCUGCUAAUGGAGAACAUCAUCCUACUUCGGGAUCAAUACCAUCCUCAAGAAGCCAUCUCCAGUGUGGGCUAACCUGUUUCCCUAAUAUGCCCCUCUUAAAUUGGGGGCAGAGGUCUGUCUCAGAUCAUUCAAGAUUUAAAAUGACAUCGUGGGAUUUUUAAUUAUUUUUCUUAUGUGUGUAUCUUAAAUUAGACUUCCUGUUGAACCGGGUCUGAUUCCAGCUUGGUGAUUUCACUGGAGGUACCGCUAUUGAAGGUAGUAGAUUAUUGUGCUUCAGGGAGAAGGUUUUAUUUUGUUACCUACAAGGAAGUUUCUUUUCAGCUUGAAGAGGUGCUGGAACAAAUUUGCCUCGCAGCAGGCUAUGUGCAACACCGGUGCGGUGUAAUAAGCCUCAGUGACCUUCUCUGUGGCUGUUGUCUCAACCUAGUGUGGCAUUUUAGAGGCAGCCUCUACUACUUGUAUUGCUAGCACUGCUGAAAUUUAAGCUCAAUACAUUCAUGAAUGUUUGUCUCACAAAUUCUAUGAAAGUUAAACAUAAUGUUUCUUAGUACUUUGCUGCUGUGAGCAGUGCAAUUUGCUGCAGCACGUCAUAGUCCCUCCUUGACUUGUUCCUUGCUGCUGGUUCCCAGCCAGCAAGGAGAGACUUGUUCAAAAAGACUGUUUUAAGAUGAUAUUAAAAAGUUUGCAAAUUCUAAUGGGUUGUCCCCCCCACAUCAAAAUACUGUUUUUCAGUUGUUGAAUUGUCAUUUCAAAAUGUAGAGGAUGCAUGGGCUGAAGCCUUUUUAGCUCUUAUUCAUUAAGGAGAGAAAUCUGUGGCCCAAUAUAGUUGUAAAAACAAAAGCCAUUUUAACUUCAUUUGUAAAUUCGAUGCCUUAUUUUCCAUUAAAAAAAAAAUCCUUAAGUGCAUUUUUCUAUUAACAGCAAAUUUCCCUUUUGCCUAAAAUAGUGCAUUAAGUAGCCAACUGCUGCAGCAUUACAAGGCAAAGUAAAGCCUUUUUUUUUUUAAAAAGUCACUUUUUUUUUUUUUUUACUUUCUAGCCAGUGAAUGUGAAAUCCUAUACUAGAUGGCUGAAAAACUGAAAGGGAAAAAUAAAAUAAAAAAACCAUAUCAUGCCAGAUGCAUGACAGUUUUAGUAGCUGCCAAAUGUGCCUUUUAUCAAAGAACAUCUAAUAUUUUUAAAAAGAAGGGAAGCCAAAGGUGGACAAUCAGGGCUGCAUGUUGCUAGAAUUGCUUUGGAGAAAUUUGUUCAAAUCUACUUUGGAAUAAGCCUUUUUUUGUUUGUGAAAAAGAAGAAAUUUUAGGUUCUGGUAAGUUUGUUCCAGUAUGUGUGUACAUUGGCCUUUGUUUGACGGCACGGGUACUUGCCAAAAUGAGUGAAUGUUAAAAGCUAUGUCAGUCCAGUUGUAAAAAGAAAAACCGGAGAAAGAGAAGGGGUAGAUUUAGCUGGCACAUAUGAUGACCUUUGUAUGUAACUGUCUGUAGGUGAUACCUGUAUGCUGUGUCUUCAGUGGUAUUCAGAUUGCAUUUAAGUGAAAAUUUAAUAGUGGCUGUUGUCUUUUGGCAUUGCAAGAUAUGUUCUAAUGAUAAUAAAAAAAAAAAAAAAAAAAAA